UACGUAGGGGGCAAGCGUUGUCCGGAUUUAUUGGGCGUAAAGAGCGUGUAGGCGGUUAGGUAGGUCCGUUGUGAAAACUCGAGGCUCAACCUCGAGACGCCGAUGGAAACCAUCUAACUAGAGUCCGGAAGGGGAGACGUGGAAUUCCGUGUGGUAGCGGUGGAAAUGCGCAGAUAUCAGGAGGAACACCGGUGGCGAAGGCGGGUCUCUGGGCCGAUACUGACGCUGAGGCACGAAAGCGUGGGGAGCGAACAGG
This 256-nucleotide ribosomal RNA is filed under the name uncultured bacterium. Its description in RNAcentral is "partial 16S ribosomal RNA". It matches the Rfam family "Bacterial small subunit ribosomal RNA", at positions 524 to 776 of the family's 1533-position model. The record is from RNAcentral.